CGUGGAGGGUUGUUAAAGGUAUAGGGACCGCUGCAGCCGAGGCGGGGGCGGGGCGGAGUCUCGGGAACUGGAGAGGAGUGGUCUGCAUUAAGUGGCUGAGCUACUGAAAAAAAGAGCCUAGGGCAGAAAGCACCUCCUGGAAGCGGAGGUUGGUAGACUGGGGAAGGAAACAAGGCAUUAGGGCCGGACUCUGAAGCAAGGUGAUGGGACAUGGAGAAAAAGGGGUAGUCUGGUGGAGGGAAAAGACUGUGGCUUGAGAGUAGCAAAGGUAGAAACGGAUUGUGGACCAUAUAGGACAAGUGUUGAGGGCCUUGAGGGUGGGGUGGUACUCUGGGGAUUGGGAAGAUGCUCUGGUGCCAUGGGGAAGACUGCGAGGUGAGAAGGGAGGCAGCUGAAUAGAAAGAAGAGGGAAAAUUGCGAUCAGGCUACCCCUGACCGGAGUGGUAUUCCCCUAUGCCUUGGAAUCCACUCCUGCCUCGUUUCCCUUAGGGGUGGGCUGGGCUCAGCGCAUCCUAUCCCUGGGCAGUGGAUAAAACAAACUAGCCGCUGCGCUAACAGAUGGAAGGGCUGCCCCUCUCCCAGGCUUCUUGCAUAUUGGUUAUUUCCCCCUUUUCACAUUUUUUUUUCCUUCCUAGGUAGUGGGGAGGCAUAGUUCAUGAUCAAUGCCAGCAAUAGCCAGCUGAGGAUACAGAGGACGGGAGCCUGCAAAAUGAUUUCAGGCUGUAGAUGUAGGACUGAGAAGCAGGUGUGGUGGAGAUGACUGUAGCCCUAGUGUCUGUCAGCAUCUGGAAUGGGAACCACAGGAGCAAGCCAUCUAGACAGGCACCUAGACCUGUGUCAGCUAUGUGGGGGUUGACUGGCCCUGGGGAAAGGCAGUUGGCUACUGCAGGUGGCUGGCGACAAGGCUGGAGUGCAAGGGAAAGAAAGGCCAGCACAGAAGUCUCCGCACACAGAGCUGCGGUCCUGGCUGGUCUGAGGUCAUGCCCGGAGCUACCCCACAAUGAAGGAACACAACAGACCAGAUAUCCCUGUCCCAUCUCAUUUCUACAGAUCAGGACUACUUGGCCCAAGCCCCGAAGAGACCCCAGGGCAGGAAGUCAUUCCCUACCCACCCAAAUGAUGGUGACUCCAACUUCCCAUCAGAUCUGGCGAUGAUCUGCCUCAGUUUCCAAAGCAAGCCAAAGGGUGAGCAGAGGAGAGGGAAGCGGGGCAGAGGGAC
Molecule: long non-coding RNA, 1219 nt
Organism: Microtus ochrogaster (prairie vole)
Lineage: Eukaryota; Metazoa; Chordata; Mammalia; Rodentia; Cricetidae
Exons: 3
Source: RefSeq, a predicted model, not a curated record